Molecule: ribozyme, 116 nt
Filed under: Aedes aegypti (yellow fever mosquito)
Lineage: Eukaryota; Metazoa; Arthropoda; Insecta; Diptera; Culicidae
Description: drz-agam-1 ribozyme
Rfam family: drz-agam-1 ribozyme
Source: Rfam by way of RNAcentral
UGCCCAGUAACUCCUAUUCCUACCUCUUCGUGGUACUGGCCAGGGUACGAAUAACCUUGGAGCAGAUCGGGUAACCAACACCGGUGGGAAAUUUGGUCGUAUGCUGACAGGGAAGG